ACGACGAAGGUACUCAAUGACAAAGCGAAGAUGAUGGUUAACUUGAUUGCUCAAAAUGGAUCCAUUAGCCAUAAAUUUUGGCUCGUCCAUGAGCGCAUGAAUGGUAUCACGGGCAAAAGGGCCUGCUUGAGACCCAGAAAUAAGCUGAGAUAGCUGCAAAACCAAAGAAGUAGUAAGAGGAAAUUGACCCUGGAUAUCCCAUAGCUUUGUAGUCAAAAGACGAUAGAUUUUGUGCAAAGGUACGCCCAAGAAACCGACAUGACCUAGAAGAUCAAAACCACGACGACCAGCACGACCAGCGGCUUGAUGGAAAUUCAAGGCGUUAAGCUGUAAACUAUCUCCCAAAAAUACCACAGUUCGGCAUGGCAUGUUGAUACCAAGAGAGAGUGUACGAGUAGCAAUUACAACUGUAAGCUGACCACAUCUAAACAAAACUUCGACGAUUUGACGGUAACGUCUGUUAAGACCAGAAUGAUGAAUAC
This is a non-coding RNA of Schizosaccharomyces pombe (fission yeast), 482 nucleotides long. Lineage: Eukaryota; Fungi; Ascomycota; Schizosaccharomycetes; Schizosaccharomycetales; Schizosaccharomycetaceae. The record is from the annotation of a GenBank genome assembly.